CGUCUCCUCCACCCUCCUCCUUUGGUGUGGAUUUAGCCCGAGCCGUCAAACGCUCGGGCUUUUCUUU
Small RNA from Azoarcus sp. KH32C, 67 nucleotides. It matches the Rfam family "Betaproteobacteria toxic small RNA". Rfam says of the family: Overexpression in amino aid rich medium attenuates growth, suggesting role in repressing amino acid intake and metabolism. Lineage: Bacteria; Pseudomonadati; Pseudomonadota; Betaproteobacteria; Rhodocyclales; Zoogloeaceae. The record is from Rfam.